Molecule: long non-coding RNA, 490 nt
Organism: Grus americana (Whooping crane)
Lineage: Eukaryota; Metazoa; Chordata; Aves; Gruiformes; Gruidae
Exons: 3
Source: RefSeq, a predicted model, not a curated record
CAGCAUCAGAGGGUCCAUAUAGAUGAGAAGCCCUAUAGGUGUACCGAGUGUGGAAGUAGCUUCCGUCUGUGCUCAAACUUCAUCAGACAUCAACGGAUUCAUUUGAGAGAGAGACCCAGUGAAUACACAGCAGAUGCAAACUAUUCUGAAUUUACAUCUCUGCAUCAUAAAGAAGAGCAAAGGUGUGGUGCAGAGAAAUGUGAGAAGGAUCACUUGAACCUUCUUCUUGAAGAGUUGAAGAAAAUGAGGGAAAAUAUGGAUAUGCUGCUUCUGAAUCAGCAAAGUCAGCUGCAGGUCCUGCAAGAAAUUCAGAAACAACUGAAUAUACUCCUCCCAGGCAAUGAUCUCAUUAAUUCAAACGUCUAUAGUUUAGGACUUCUGCUAGGACGGCAGGCGGCUGCUGUGGCGUCCCUUUCUUUUCCCCUUCUUAAUCCCAGCAGUCUCCUCCCUGAAAAUGCCGGUCUCUUAUCCCAGUCAUCUGCUCCUGGAG